This 97-nucleotide transfer RNA is filed under the name Acidobacteriota bacterium. Its description in RNAcentral is "Acidobacteria bacterium (freshwater sediment metagenome) tRNA-Ser". It matches the Rfam family "tRNA". Rfam says of the family: Transfer RNA (tRNA) molecules are approximately 80 nucleotides in length. Lineage: Bacteria; Pseudomonadati; Acidobacteriota. The record is from RNAcentral.
GGAGGAGUACCGAAGUGGUCGUAACGGGGUCGACUCGAAAUCGACUUGUCUCAGCAAACACUGGGGCACGUGGGUUCGAAUCCCACCUCCUCCGCCA